AUGAAUCAGUCCGGGUUUAAAGACUGGAAGGUUUUAUGUUGGAACGUGCGUGGUCUUAAUUCUGAAGCACGGCAAUUAGCGGUUAAACAAAAGAUUGAUGAAAGUGGCUGCUCUGUGGUCUGUCUCCAAGAAACGAAGUGUAUGCAUAUUGAUCACAGGUUUAUUAGGAAGUUUUGUCCACGACGCUUUGAUAAUUUUUCGUAUGUGCCUUCGGUGGGUGCCUCGGCUGGUAUGGUCAUCAUUUGGAACUCCUCUUUCUUUGAGGGUAAAUUAAUUGAGGCAUGGCCUUAUGGUAUUAUUCUGGAAUUCCACUCUAAGCAUACUUCUGAAGUUUGGACCCUAGUGUCAGUUUAUGGCCCUUGCCAGGGUCCGGCCCGCGAUGAUUUUGUGCAAUGGUCAUACAACCUUGACAUCAACUGUGAUGAUAAU
Molecule: ribosomal RNA, 429 nt
Filed under: Triticum aestivum (bread wheat)
Lineage: Eukaryota; Viridiplantae; Streptophyta; Magnoliopsida; Poales; Poaceae
Description: partial small subunit ribosomal RNA
Source: RNAcentral